ACGAACGCUGGCGGCGUGCUUAACCCAUGCAAGUCGAACGGAAAGGCCCUGCUUUUGUGGGGUGCUCGAGUGGCGAACGGGUGAGUAACACGUGAGUAACCUGCCCUUGACUUUGGGAUAACUUCAGGAAACUGGGGCUAAUACCGGAUAGGAGCUCCUGCUGCAUGGUGGGGGUUGGAAAGUUUCGGCGGUUGGGGAUGGACUCGCGGCUUAUCAGCUUGUUGGUGGGGUAGUGGCUUACCAAGGCUUUGACGGGUAGCCGGCCUGAGAGGGUGACCGGCCACAUUGGGACUGAGAUACGGCCCAGACUCCUACGGGAGGCAGCAGUGGGGAAUAGUGCACAAUGGGCGGAAGCCUGAUGCAGCAACGCCGCGUGCGGGAUGACGGCCUUCGGGUUGUAAACCGCUUUCGCCUGUGACGAAGCGUGAGUGACGGUAAUGGGUAAAGAAGCACCGGCUAACUACGUG
Molecule: ribosomal RNA, 467 nt
Filed under: uncultured bacterium
Lineage: Bacteria
Description: partial 16S ribosomal RNA
Rfam family: Bacterial small subunit ribosomal RNA
Source: RNAcentral